UGGGGAAUAUUGCACAAUGGGCGAAAGCCUGAUGCAGCGACGCCGCGUGGGGGAUGACGGCCUUCGGGUUGUAAACCUCUUUCAGCAAGGAAGAAGCGAAAGUGACGGUACUUGCAGAAGAAGCGCCGGCUAACUACGUGCCAGCAGCCGCGGUAAUACGUAGGGCGCAAGCGUUGUCCGGAAUUAUUGGGCGUAAAGGGCUUGUAGGUGGCUUGUCGCGUCUGCCGUGAAAACUCGAGGCUUAACCUUGGGCGUGCGGUGGGUACGGGCAGGCUAGAGUGCGGUAGGGGAGACUGGAAUUCCUGGUGUAGCGGUGAAAUGCGCAGAUAUCAGGAGGAACACCGAUGGCGAAGGCAGGUCUCUGGGCCGUUACUGACACUGAGAAGCGAAAGCAUGGGGAGCGAACAGG
RNAcentral lists this ribosomal RNA (409 nucleotides) under Actinomycetes bacterium. RNAcentral's name for it is "Actinobacteria bacterium partial 16S ribosomal RNA". It matches the Rfam family "Bacterial small subunit ribosomal RNA", at positions 355 to 776 of the family's 1533-position model. The record is from RNAcentral. Lineage: Bacteria; Bacillati; Actinomycetota; Actinomycetes. RNAcentral also lists the same sequence under 1 other name.